Molecule: long non-coding RNA, 947 nt
Organism: Gossypium raimondii (Peruvian cotton)
Lineage: Eukaryota; Viridiplantae; Streptophyta; Magnoliopsida; Malvales; Malvaceae
Exons: 2
Source: RefSeq, a predicted model, not a curated record
CAGAAAAAUCACCAAGUAGUCCAUCUUUCCUUUCUCUUUCGAUUUAAAAAUUCAAAUAUUCUUGAAACCCGCAAGAAAACCACGAUAAUAUUGAGUCAGAUUCAAACUUAUCUUGUCCCGAUCUACUACCUUCGUCGUUAGAUCGCCUAGGGUACUUAAUAUAUGGUUCUCCUUGACCGAAUAGAUCCUGUCACCGUUCAAAUUGUCUAAUGGAAUUCCAGAGCUUAAAACCCAAAUUCAAUUAGAGAUAAGUCCCCUUCUCUUUAUUUUUUUUUUCAAUCUCUUUUCCUGCUUUUAUGAAUAUUGGUUUUUCUCUUCUUUGUUUGCAGGUUUGGAUUAGCUUCUUCAAAACAGUUCAAUGGCUAAAGAGGUGGAGGUGGAAGCAGCAAUGGUGACAGUGAAAGUGUUGGAUGAUGAAGGAGAUGUUGUGUGGGAGAUGGUAGUAUUAGACAGUGAUUGGGGUUUUGAGUGGCUAAGGGUUGUGUCAAAUAUGACAAUGGUGAUGAGCGAUUUAGAGUUGAGAGAAGGGAUAAGAAAGGGGGUUGUGUGAACUUGUUGAUGGUGGUUUAGACAGUGAAUGGCGGGAAAGGUGAACAGUGAUAGAGAGGAAAAAAAUGAACAAAAAAAAAAAUUAAGAGAAAAAGAAGAAUGAACAAAAAAAUGAACAGUGUUUUGGAUGGAAGUUCUGAAUUUAUCUUUUUUGAAAAUUCUCUAGAAAUUAAAACUUCCCUCAACAAUGCAUGCAAGUUUGAUUUGGGAAGGAGGUAUUUUUGACAGAAAAAAGAGAGUUAUUACAAGCGACAUCAAAAUGUUCUGACCUAAGAUAUUUUUGAAGAUUCAUCAAAAUGCCCCUUGAAAUUUUUCUUUCAUAUUUUCUAAUUUAUUUUUUGUGAAAUUUCUAAAAAAAAAUCAUAGACUACAAGAACAGAUUGUGGGUUCUUUAUCCA